RNAcentral lists this ribosomal RNA (740 nucleotides) under Streptomyces finlayi. RNAcentral's name for it is "bacterial SSU rRNA". It matches the Rfam family "Bacterial small subunit ribosomal RNA", at positions 74 to 830 of the family's 1533-position model. RNAcentral also lists the same sequence under 1 other name. The record is from RNAcentral. Lineage: Bacteria; Bacillati; Actinomycetota; Actinomycetes; Kitasatosporales; Streptomycetaceae.
AGCCCUUCGGGGUGGAUUAGUGGCGAACGGGUGAGUAACACGUGGGCAAUCUGCCCUUCACUCUGGGACAAGCCCUGGAAACGGGGUCUAAUACCGGAUAACACUCCUGCCUGCAUGGGCGGGGGUUAAAAGCUCCGGCGGUGAAGGAUGAGCCCGCGGCCUAUCAGCUUGUUGGUGGGGUAAUGGCCUACCAAGGCGACGACGGGUAGCCGGCCUGAGAGGGCGACCGGCCACACUGGGACUGAGACACGGCCCAGACUCCUACGGGAGGCAGCAGUGGGGAAUAUUGCACAAUGGGCGAAAGCCUGAUGCAGCGACGCCGCGUGAGGGAUGACGGCCUUCGGGUUGUAAACCUCUUUCAGCAGGGAAGAAGCGCAAGUGACGGUACCUGCAGAAGAAGCACCGGCUAACUACGUGCCAGCAGCCGCGGUAAUACGUAGGGUGCGAGCGUUGUCCGGAAUUAUUGGGCGUAAAGAGCUCGUAGGCGGCUUGUCACGUCGGAUGUGAAAGCUCGGGGCUUAACCCCGAGUCUGCAUUCGAUACGGGCUAGCUAGAGUGUGGUAGGGGAGAUCGGAAUUCCUGGUGUAGCGGUGAAAUGCGCAGAUAUCAGGAGGAACACCGGUGGCGAAGGCGGAUCUCUGGGCCAUUACUGACGCUGAGGAGCGAAAGCGUGGGGAGCGAACAGGAUUAGAUACCCUGGUAGUCCACGCCGUAAACGUUGGGAACUAGGUGUUGGCGAC